This 2841-nucleotide long non-coding RNA is filed under the name Homo sapiens (human). RNAcentral's name for it is "HSALNT0179053". Lineage: Eukaryota; Metazoa; Chordata; Mammalia; Primates; Hominidae. The record is from RNAcentral.
AUUUCCUGACCUCGUGAUCUGCCCGCCUCGGCCUCCCAAAGUGUUGGAAUUACAGGCGUGAGCCACCGCGCCUGGCCAGCUUUUUCUAUUCUUAACAGAGCAUCUCCUAGGCAUAAGGCAUUGGUCUAAAACCUAAAAAAUGCAAUGGCGAAAAAGCAAACACAGCACCUAAUUUAAUAAGGUUUGUGUUCUGCUGGGAGAAAGACACGAAAUGUCAAGUUAUACAAUGAAUUGGUACAAUUAUAAAUGUUACGAAGAGUUGAGCUUAUUAGGACAUUAAUUGCAAUCUAAUAGGAAAAUAGAGAUUAAUUGCUAAAUGUUCUAAUCUAAUGGCCCCAACUCUUCAUAACACUAAAUGUUAAAUGUUUAGCAUUUAGACAAUGUAAGGUAGUCUGGGGGAAUAGCAGUGCCUUUUUGAGAUGUUACAUUUUAGCUGUGAUCUAAACGAUGAAUGGGAACUAUACUAGGAAGAGGAGUGGAGUAAAUGACACAUGCAAAAGCCCUGAGUGUAGCAUAUUCAAGGAACUGAAAGAAGGCCCCUGCAAUGGGAAGGCAAACAACCACAGAGAAUGUGACAUAAGGUGAAUAUGGAGACAUGGGCAGGGGGAAUGCUCAUUCAAGUAGAAUUAUGCGGAUGAAAAACCUUUGAUGGGCUUUAAUCGGGGGAGUGACACGAACAGAUUUUCAUUUAAAAGGACUACUCUGGCUAUAGAGUAGAGUAGGCAUUGUAGGGGACAAGCAAGUAAGGUAGGAGACCCCAGUCACAGUUGUCAAGUUAAGAGAAGAAGGUAGGUUUGACUAGAGUGGUAGAGAUGGAGAUGAGGAGAAGUGGGAAAAUUGGAGAAAGAUUUAGUAAGGAAAGUCAAUGGAAUUUGACUCAGUGUGUGCUGGAGAGUCAUGGUGAGUAGAUGGCAAUCAGAGCAUGAGCUCAAGGAGCUAGUGUUUGAGAAACAUACUUCAGGAGCUAUAGUGUACUGUCUUUAACCUGAUACUUUUUAAAGAAAUACCCAAACAUCCUAAUUCCUCUGCAUAGGACUCCACUGAUCCAAGACACCACUUGAGCCCCACUACAGCCUUUCCUUAAAUUACCUCUCUGGACUCAUUUCCCAUUUUUACUGCCACCCUUCACUUUCCUAAUAACCCUGCACUUCAGGUAUACCAAACUUCUCAUAAUUCUGAAAUACUGCUCUUCUGUCUAAAAUUCCUUUCUCAGCACCAACCUCCAAUAUUUUUUUUACUGGUAAACUGCUGUGCAUCAUUUAAAGCCUGGAACAAUUUGACUACCUUCCCUCUGAAGUCUCUCCCAGCUUUCCUAAAGGAAGUAAUUCCUUGUCUGUGCUCUCACAGAACCAGGCUUACACUUAGUGUGUCUGCUAGAAUGUAAACUCCACCAAGGUGGGGAUUGUCUGUCUUCUUUUCUAGCACUGUAAACAGUACCUGACCACCUCUAAGUUGGUAUACAUAUCCUAAGUUAUAAUAUUUUGCUUAGUGUUCUCAUCCUGUUUUUAGGAAAACCAAGCUCUCUGAAGACAAGGACUAUAUCUUAUUCCUUCUAAUGAUCAGCAAUCUAGCACAGGUCCUGGCAGGCAGGACACAGUAGGCCCUCCAUACAUUUAUAUUUAAUGAAUACAUUUUAGGGCAGAAAGAUCAGGAUUUCUAUUGAUCUCUUUCUAUAGCCAUGUACCUUUCGGAGCUCUGAUGUGCCCAUGUAACCUUGUGCCCUUGGCUUCCCUGGAUUUUGGAAAGGGGAUCUCCAGUACUCAGUACCUCUGAAACUUGGACUUUCUGAUUUACCCUCACUUGAACUGCAUGUGCCGGGCUCCCUCUUCCACUCUAUCAGGCUGGAACUCUCUGUCAAGGUAGUUGAAUGUAAUUUUGCCUUGAUGUUAGGUGGGAACAGAACAUUGAACACAGCCAUUCAAGGAGUCAAAGAAUGGGUUGGGGCUGGGUGUGGUAGCGUACACCUAUAACCCCAGCACUUUGGAAGGCCAAGGCAGGAGGAUCACUUGAGCCCAGGAGUUCCAAACCAGCCUGGGCCAUAUCAUGUAUUGCCUUGCAAAAAAUUUCUUUAAAAAAAUUAGUUGAGCAUGGUGGUGCAUGCCUGUAGUCCCAGCUACCCAAGAGGCUGAAGUGGGAGGAUCACUUGAACCUGGGAGGUCAAGGCUGCUGUGGCCCAUGAUCAUGCCACUGCACUCCAGCCCGGGCAACAGAGAGAGACCCUGUCUUAAAAAAAAAAAAAAAAGAAAAAAAAAGGGAUGUGGUGGGGUGUGGGGUUGGUGCCAAUAAACUUUGCUAUCUUUAGUAAUGGGAAUGGAAAGAUAGAAUCUUCCAACAGCAGACCUGGAAAGCAAUCUUGGGAUCAUUUAUCUCUUUGUGUUUGUUUAAUGUGGCUAACAUCUUUAACAAGAAACUCAAAUGUGAAAGUUACUUGCCUAAGGUUGAGGUAUUGCUUCUCACAAGAGGUCAUUAGCUGUGGGGUUCUGCCUGCAGACCCUGGCCUAAAGGACAGAUGAAUAAAACGUACACUGACACACAGAUAUUCUGUUUUGCCAGUCCUGCUGAGUGCCCGACUGCCUGCACACCAAGAGAGGUUUGUUACUGUGGCCGGCCCUGAGCAGCUCGCACUUCAGGCAUUUAUUUAGUAUACAAUUAACAACAGAAGCUUUGAGUCCACACACUUGUGGAUAAUUAACGUGGUUAACAGAGUAGUUCCACGAAUGAUUAAAGCUCAGGUACUGCGGUUUAAAAUAAAUACCAUUAGGGGGCAAUAUUCCUGGUAGACCUCCACACCGCCUUGGAGAGGGCCAUCUGGUUCAAAGGAACCUCCAUUUGGAUGAUCUG